GAGAGCACAUGAGUUAAAGCCUCCGCGUUCACGUGGUUCCAAUAGGUCUUCAGUAGUUACCACUUUAUGCGGUGAGACAUCGUGGUCUUAGUGAAGCAUUCGCUUUAGUUUCUUAAGAAAAAAGAGAAGAAGCCAGAGACUUUAAAAGUGAUUGUCCCAGGGUUUCCUGGUGGUCCAGUGGUGAAGAAUCUGCCUUGCAAUGCAAGGGACACCAGUUUGAUCCCUGAUCCAGGAAGACCCCACGUGCCACGGAGCGACUCAGCCCACAGCUGCUGAGCCUGUGCUCCAGAGCCCGGGGAACCACAACUGCUGAGCCUGUGCUCCAGAGCCUGUGCUCCGCAGGAGGAGAAGCCACCCACAGUGAGAUGUUCUUGCACCAAAACAAAGAGAAAGCCCCGCUUGCCGCAACUAGAGAAAGCCCACACACAGCAACGAAGACCCACCACUGCCAAAAAAUAAAAUAAAUAAAUGCGGUUCACAGGAAACCUGAGCUUGGCAAUCCCACGUGAAGCAGCUGGUGCUCUUAUUUUCUUGUUGUCAGCCUUCCUCCAGCAUCCAUGAGUCACAGCGUUGUCUCACGGGGUGAUAACCCCUCUCCGCAGGAGCACCCUCCCCAUUCUCUAUCUUGUUUACAGCUCUGGCAGGAUGCUCUGGUUGGGAUCAGUGGGGAUAUGGGAAGGCCUUUCCUUCCGGAGUGUCAGCCAUCAGCGCCCACUGCUGUGGGAUCGUCCAUCCAGAGACUGAGCAGUGAGCGAUGGGAGGCCCGAGGGCAUGGCUGGAGGUGAAUGUCAGCGUCCUCCGUCUUGACCAUCACAGCCACGAUUUCACAGUGCCUGUGAGAUGUGAACGGGCGAAGCGGAGCGUGUUGGAAAGAGCACGUCCUUAGGAGUAAGAGGGUGUGUGUUCUGGCUCGUUGAUGGCUUUCACUUCACCUACUCAUUCCUCAUGUGUGAAAUGUACACAUCCCGGUCCAGCUACCUCAUUAUGAGGAUGGAAAGAUGGGGACAGGUGAAAGUAUUUUGUAGAUAAAAGAAAACUCUCUACAACUGAAUAUCACUCGCUGUAUAAUGCAAGUUUUAUACUCAUCAUCUCUUGCUCUUGCAGCAGCUCUGAGACUCAGGAAAUAAUCAUCGGCCCAUCAACUCCUUCCUUCAUCAAAAAUUCAUGGAGUCCUUCCUAUGUGACAUGCUCCGUUCUAGAUGUCAACAUUUAUUGUAUCAUUUAGUUUAUUGUUAACUCACUUACACCCAGAGCUGUGCUGAGCUGUAUUGUAAUAUAAAGCAAAAGGAAAAACCAGUGAUACCGACCCUACUUUUUUCAUCAUGCAUCUCUUUACAUUAACUUUAAUUUUUUAAAAAUAAUGCAUGAAAAUGUUAUUUAUCUGAUGGCUGAGUUUUUUGGGGUGCUCCUUUGCAUUCUGUGCCUGAUUCAAGUGUUUUGCUUACCUCACUCUGGUCUUAGCUCUGCUAAUCACCCUGUGCUGCUGCUGCUGCUGCUAAGUCGCUUCAGUCGUGUCCGACUCUGUGCGACCCCAUAGACAGCAGCCCACCAGGCUCCCCCAUCCCUGGGAUUCUCCAGGCAAGAACACUGGAGUGGGUUGCCAUUUCCUUCUCCAAUGCAUGAAAGUGGAAAAGUGAAAGUGAAGUCGCUCAGUUGUGUCUGACUCUUAGCGACCCCAUGGACUGCAGCCUACCAGGCUCCUCCGUCCAUGGGAUUUUCUAGGCAAGAGUACUGGAGUGGGGUGCCAUUGCCUUCUCCGAUCACCCUGUGAGGUAGGCAUUAUCCUAAUCAUGUCACAAAAAAAGAAAUUUUAGUUCCGGGAAAUUAGCUAACUUGCCCCAGGUUGCAGUAUGAAUAAGUGGUAAAGCAAUAAUUUAGAUCCAGGUCUCUGUGACUUUAUCCCACUGUGCCCUGCAUCUUUUAAUAGAUGGAAUG
This is a long non-coding RNA of Bos taurus (domestic cattle), 1935 nucleotides long. NCBI's taxonomy places the organism in Eukaryota, Metazoa, Chordata, Mammalia, Artiodactyla, Bovidae. The record is from Ensembl.